RNAcentral lists this transfer RNA (65 nucleotides) under Peromyscus eremicus (cactus mouse). RNAcentral describes it as "tRNA-Trp". Lineage: Eukaryota; Metazoa; Chordata; Mammalia; Rodentia; Cricetidae. The record is from RNAcentral.
GGAGUUUAGGAUAAAAAGUCCAAGAGCCUUCAAAGCCCUAAGUAGACUAAAAAGUUUAACUCCUG